CAGAAACUAGGAGAUUUUAACUCCUGCUUUAGGCUUUGAAGGCUUUUGGUCUGAUUUAUCCUAAGUUUCUUU
Molecule: transfer RNA, 72 nt
Filed under: Pristimantis ridens (pygmy robber frog)
Lineage: Eukaryota; Metazoa; Chordata; Amphibia; Anura; Strabomantidae
Description: tRNA-Trp
Source: RNAcentral